RNA transcript from Cavia porcellus (domestic guinea pig), 2599 nucleotides. It is a transcript of the gene named autophagy related 4A cysteine peptidase, with no coding region annotated. The transcript is spliced from 14 exons. The record is from RefSeq and is a predicted model, not a curated record. NCBI's taxonomy places the organism in Eukaryota, Metazoa, Chordata, Mammalia, Rodentia, Caviidae.
GCCGUUCUGGGCGGGGAGGCGCCUUACUUGUCCUCACGGACUUGGCCCCUAACAGUGCGGGACUACAAGCCCCAGAGUCCCUUGCGACCUCCGUAGUCAAUUUGCCGGUGGAAUAGGCCCAUGAUGACAGCUGGAGAAUGGAGUCAGUUUUACCCAAGUAUGAAAACCAGAUUACUAUUUUUGCUGACUACCUAGAAGAAUUUCCAGAUACUGAUGAGCUGGUAUGGAUCCUGGGGAAGCAGCAUCUCCUUAAAACAGAAAAAUCUAAGCUGUUGUCUGAUAUAAGCGCUCGUCUAUGGUUUACAUACAGAAGGAAAUUUUCACCAAUUGGAGGAACAGGCCCUUCAUCAGAUGCUGGCUGGGGAUGUAUGCUGCGCUGUGGACAGAUGAUGCUGGCUCAAGCUCUUAUCUGUAGACACUUGGGAAGGGACUGGAACUGGGAGAAACAAAAAGAACAACCCAAAGAGUAUCAACGGAUCCUACAGUGCUUCUUAGAUAGAAAAGACUGUUGCUAUUCUAUCCAUCAAAUGGCACAAAUGGGUGUAGGAGAAGGGAAAUCAAUUGGCGAAUGGUUUGGACCAAAUACAGUUGCACAGGUGUUAAAAAAACUUGCUUUAUUUGAUGAAUGGAAUUCCUUGGCUGUUUAUGUUUCAAUGGAUAACACAGUGGUCAUUGAAGAUAUCAAAAAAAUGUGCCGAGUCCUUCCCUUUAGUGCUGAUACAGCUGACAAAAGCUCCCCUGAUUCUUUUAUCACUUCAAACCAGAGUAAAGAUACCUCUGCCUUCUGCCCAGCCUGGAAACCCCUGCUGCUCAUUGUGCCCCUUCGCCUGGGCAUAAACCAAAUCAAUCCUGUGUAUGUUGAUGCAUUCAAAGAGUGUUUUAAGAUGCCACAGUCUUUAGGGGCAUUAGGAGGAAAACCAAAUAACGCCUAUUAUUUCAUAGGAUUCUUAGGUGAUGAGCUCAUCUUCUUGGACCCUCACACAACCCAGACUUUUGUUGACACUGAAGAAAAUGGAACAGUCAAUGACCAGACUUUUCAUUGCCUGCAGUCUCCACAGCAGAUGAACAUAUUGAACUUAGAUCCUUCUGUAGCAUUGGGAUUUUUCUGCAAAGAGGAAAAGGACUUUGAUAACUGGUGUAGCCUUGUUCAGAAGGAAAUUCUGAAGGAGAAUUUAAGGAUGUUUGAAUUAGUUCAGAAACAUCCACCACACUGGCCUCCCUUUGUACCUCCAACAAAACCAGAGGUGACAACCACUGGGGCAGUUCCAUGCAUCUGAGUUAUGGCCAUGCUACAAGAGAUUGAUUUUCCAAGUCCAAAGCCAUGUGAUCCUGUGACUCACCUGGAGAUCCACGGAGACCUUGUUGACCUGGAAACCCAUCUAUUCCUUUCUCUCCUGGGGGACCUUGAGGUCCAGGAAGUCCUGGCAACCCAAUUCCUGGAGGACCAGUUGGACCAGAAUGACCUUUUCCACCAGGAAGUCCUGGUAGUCCCUUUUCUCCUGGGAAUCCCUUUCCACCAUCACCCUAGAAAGUAAUAAAAAACAAAGCACAUUUCAGAGAAUUAUCUGGAGUUCUAUUACUAUAGAAAAGAGGUAACCAGUAUGACUAAUGAUUCAUAAUUUGUUAAAAUCCUCUAUCACUUUAGUUUAUUAGUCUUCUCUGAGUUCAAUUAGUGGGAAUGAGUCUUGUCAAUUAUGGGUCAUCUGAUAUUUCAGAUGGAGGUGGGAAAGAAUUAAGCAGGAUAACAAUAACCUUUGAAGUCACAGAAGAAGUUGAGUUGCUUGAAUGGGAAAGCCAUUGAGAAGCUGAAGCAUUUUUAAGUGAUAUAGUGAAUUGUUGCUAGCAUUUAUCAAAUAAAGUAAUGGCUAUUCCCAGAAAAUAAUUCCCACUUUAUAGAAAAGCACAAAGUCAAAAGUGUCAGUGACAGAGGCAGGAACAGAUACUGUGAAUUCUUUAUUUUGUCCGUCUCAUGGUCUAGUUGCCAUCAGACAGGUCAGAUUUGAAUAUGUACAGUGCUAAUCAUGUGGGAUCAAUCCACUUACUUGAAGACCUGGCAGACCCGGUAAACCUGAUAUUCCAUCUUUUCCUGGGGCUCCUUUUAUUCCAGGGAAACCUUGGAGGCCACGAUCACCUUUCUCCCCUGGCAUCCCUGAUUCCAUACUGAAUGUUGGUUCACCCUUCUUUCCUUUAACACCUGGAAGGCCUUGAGGUCCAAAUGAACCCUGACAAAGAGACAAAGAAGAAAACUCAGAAGAUACAGACUUCAUAAGAUUCUGGAAUGUGGGAAAGGAGAAAAGGGAGUGCAUUGAAAUUGCAGCAGAGAUCCUUUGAGAUUGAACUGAAGAAAACGGGAGGUAGUCACCACGACCUAGGGAAUCCCAAAGUGGCCGAGAAGAUCAUAAAAUAUUUUCUUAAAAAUUUAGAGUCCAAAACCAAUUUGAAUGAACUGGACUGUAGAGGGCAGCAUGGUAUGGGUAAAAAUCCUGAACUGGCAGAGCUGAAUAUCAGUUUCACAUCCCCUAGUGAAAAUCCUGUCAGCUUCUUCUUCAAAACACAUUUUGUGAUUCAAGAUACACCAAUAAAAUGUAAUGUAUUGGUA